This 108-nucleotide small nuclear RNA is filed under the name Myotis davidii. Lineage: Eukaryota; Metazoa; Chordata; Mammalia; Chiroptera; Vespertilionidae. The record is from RNAcentral.
AUGCUCACUUCGGCAGCACAUAUACUAAAAUUGGAAUGAUAACAGAGAAGAUUAGCAUGGCCCCUCUACAAAGAUGACACGCAAAUUCGUUAAACGUUCCAUAUUUUU